UACGUAGGGGGCAAGCGUUGUCCGGAAUCAUUGGGCGUAAAGCGCGUGUAGGCGGUCCGGUAAGUCCGCUGUGAAAGUCGGGGGCUCAACCCCCGGAUGCCGGUGGAUACUGUCGGGCUUGAGUACGGAAGAGGCGAGUGGAAUUCCUGGUGUAGCGGUGAAAUGCGCAGAUAUCAGGAGGAACACCAAUUGCGAAGGCAGCUCGCUGGGACGUUACUGACGCUGAGACGCGAAAGCGUGGGGAGCAAACAGG
RNAcentral lists this ribosomal RNA (253 nucleotides) under uncultured bacterium. RNAcentral's name for it is "partial 16S ribosomal RNA". It matches the Rfam family "Bacterial small subunit ribosomal RNA", at positions 524 to 776 of the family's 1533-position model. The record is from RNAcentral.